CGUGCAGGCGGUUUGGUAAGUUGGAUGUGAAAGCUCCCGGCUCAACUGGGAGAGGUCGUUCAAUACUGCCGAACUUGAGGACGGUAGAGGAAGGUGGAAUUCCCGGUGUAGUGGUGAAAUGCGUAGAUAUCGGGAGGAACACCAGUGGCGAAGGCGGCCUUCUGGACCGUUCCUGACGCUCAGACGCGAAAGCUAGGGUAGCAAACG
RNAcentral lists this ribosomal RNA (207 nucleotides) under uncultured bacterium. Its description in RNAcentral is "partial 16S ribosomal RNA". It matches the Rfam family "Bacterial small subunit ribosomal RNA", at positions 568 to 774 of the family's 1533-position model. The record is from RNAcentral.